AACGCUAGCUACAGGCUUAACACAUGCAAGUCGAGGGGAAACGAUAGAGAAAGCUUGCUUUUUCUAGGCGUCGACCGGCGCACGGGUGAGUAACGCGUAUCCAACCUGCCCACCACUUGGGGAUAACCUUGCGAAAGUAAGACUAAUACCCAAUGACGUCUCUAGAAGACAUCUGAAAGGGAUUAAAGAUUUAUCGGUGAUGGAUGGGGAUGCGUCUGAUUAGCUUGUUGGCGGGGUAACGGCCCACCAAGGCGACGAUGGAUAGGGGUUCUGAGAGGAAGGUCCCCCACAUUGGAACUGAGACACGGUCCAAACUCCUACGGGAGGCAGCAGUGAGGGAUAUUGGUCAAUGGACGAGAGUCUGAACCAGCCAAGUAGCGUGAAGGAAGACUGCCCUUAGGGUUGUAAACUUCUUUUAUAAGGGAAUAACGUCAGUAACGAGUUACUGAUUGCAUGUACCUUAUGAAUAAGGAUCGGCUAACUCCGUGCCAGCAGCCGCGGUAAUACGGAAGGUCCGGGCGUUAUCCGGAUUUAUUGGGUUUAAAGGGAGCGUAGGCCGUCGUUUAAGCGUGUUGUGAAAUGCCGCGGCUCAACCGUGGCACUGCAGCGCGAACUGGAUGACUUGAGUUCGCGGGAGGUAGACGGAAUUCGUGGUGUAGCGGUGAAAUGCUUAGAUAUCACGAAGAACUCCGAUUG
This 696-nucleotide ribosomal RNA is filed under the name uncultured bacterium. Its description in RNAcentral is "bacterial SSU rRNA". It matches the Rfam family "Bacterial small subunit ribosomal RNA", at positions 32 to 715 of the family's 1533-position model. The record is from RNAcentral.